GUGGGGAAUCUUCCGCAAUGGGCGAAAGCCUGACGGAGCAACGCCGCGUGAGUGAUGACGGCCUUCGGGUUGUAAAGCUCUGUUAUAUGGGACGAACGGGCAUGGGGCAAAUACCCCCAUGCAGUGACGGUACCGUAAGAGAAAGCCACGGCUAACUACGUGCCAGCAGCCGCGGUAAUACGUAGGUGGCAAGCGUUGUCCGGAAUUAUUGGGCGUAAAGGGCGUGUAGGCGGCCAGACAAGUCUGUCUUAAAAGUGCGGGGCUCAACCCCGGGAUGGGAUGGAAACUGUCGGGCUAGAGUGUCGGAGAGGAAAGCGGAAUUCCUAGUGUAGCGGUGAAAUGCGUAGAUAUUAGGAGGAACACCAGUGGCGAAAGCGGCUUUCUGGACGACAACUGACGCUGAGGCGCGAAAGCCAGGGGAGCAAACGGGAUUAGAUACCCGAGUAGUCC
Molecule: ribosomal RNA, 450 nt
Filed under: uncultured bacterium
Lineage: Bacteria
Description: partial 16S ribosomal RNA
Rfam family: Bacterial small subunit ribosomal RNA
Source: RNAcentral